Molecule: ribosomal RNA, 250 nt
Filed under: uncultured bacterium
Lineage: Bacteria
Description: partial 16S ribosomal RNA
Rfam family: Bacterial small subunit ribosomal RNA
Source: RNAcentral
UACGGAGGGUGCAAGCGUUAUCCGGAUUCACUGGGUUUAAAGGGUGCGUAGGCGGAAUUGUAAGUCCGUGGUGAAAUCUCCAAGCUUAACUUGGAAACUGCCAUGGAUACUAUAGUUCUUGAAUGUUGUGGAGGUUUGCGGAAUAUGUCAUGUAGCGGUGAAAUGCUUAGAUAUGACAUAGAACACCGAUUGCGAAGGCAGCAGGCUACACAAAUAUUGACGCUGAGGCACGAAAGCAUGGGUAGCGAAC